AUACUUACCUGGACGGGGCUUUUGGGCGAUCAAGAAGACCCAUAGCCUAGGUUGGUGACCUCCAUUGCACAUACAGGAGGGGUGCCCGCCUAAGGUCUGUCCAAUGUGGCAGAGCCUACGUCAUAAUUUGUGGCAGUGGGGGCCUGCGUUCGCGCGGCCCCUAU
Cucumis melo (muskmelon) is the source of this 164-nucleotide non-coding RNA. The record is from Rfam. Lineage: Eukaryota; Viridiplantae; Streptophyta; Magnoliopsida; Cucurbitales; Cucurbitaceae.